This 75-nucleotide transfer RNA is filed under the name Candidatus Liptonbacteria bacterium CG11_big_fil_rev_8_21_14_0_20_35_14. RNAcentral's name for it is "tRNA-Glu". It matches the Rfam family "tRNA". Rfam says of the family: Transfer RNA (tRNA) molecules are approximately 80 nucleotides in length. Their secondary structure includes four short double-helical elements and three loops (D, anti-codon, and T loops). Further hydrogen bonds mediate the characteristic L-shaped molecular structure. tRNAs have two regions of fundamental functional importance: the anti-codon, which is responsible for specific mRNA codon recognition, and the 3' end, to which the tRNAs corresponding amino acid is attached (by aminoacyl-tRNA synthetases). tRNAs cope with the degeneracy of the genetic code in two manners: having more than one tRNA (with a specific anti-codon) for a particular amino acid; and 'wobble' base-pairing, i.e. permitting non-standard base-pairing at the 3rd anti-codon position. Lineage: Bacteria; Candidatus Liptoniibacteriota. The record is from RNAcentral.
GGCCCUAUCGUCUAGCGGCUAGGACGCGACCCUCUCACGGUCGAAACCGGGGUUCAAUUCCCCGUAGGGUCACAA